This 318-nucleotide ribosomal RNA is filed under the name Triticum aestivum (bread wheat). RNAcentral describes it as "partial small subunit ribosomal RNA". The record is from RNAcentral. Lineage: Eukaryota; Viridiplantae; Streptophyta; Magnoliopsida; Poales; Poaceae.
AUGCCUACCUCGACUCCUUGCCACCUGACGGCAAUGCUGCUCCUCCGUGCAGACGCUGAGCUUCUCCGGUCGCUAAUCCAACUCCUCUUUGCACCCCGGAUGCUCCGCCACUGCCCCAACAUGUGCUCCUGCACCACCUAUUCUAUCUACAAUGGAUCUACGGCUACUGGUCAUCAGCCUGGGCAGGUUGCUUACUCUCUCACGGACGCAUCGCCCGGCCGCGAAUGCAUGCUGAUUGUCUGCGAUUUUCCUGUCGAGUUGUUGCCACUUCCACCCGAUGUUCAGAGCUGCAAAAUUGUUCUGUUUAGGCAAAGAUGA